RNAcentral lists this long non-coding RNA (1623 nucleotides) under Aquilegia coerulea. RNAcentral describes it as "long non-coding RNA (ACOE_LNC001801)". The record is from RNAcentral. Lineage: Eukaryota; Viridiplantae; Streptophyta; Magnoliopsida; Ranunculales; Ranunculaceae.
UGACAUAAAUUACUACUUAGUAGGCUAAAUAUUUAAACAUAAUGCAUCAAAGGUACAUAUUACAGAGAGUCCAUAAACAAAAGAUAGCCUAGCUCAGAAUCUGGAUGCAUGAUCCAAUAGUCAUAAUGCAUCCCAUAUAAAGCCCUAUUAGCUAGAAAAUAACCUUGCAUCCAAUAUGUACAGUAUGUACCAUCUACUAAAGAGCUAAAAUACCAAACUUAAUAACCAUACCAAUCACUUCACUAAUCGGAGUUGCUCAACACAAUUACCUCAGGUUCCUGCACAGGCACUGGAUUGAUCAAAUUAAAUCCCGGGGGGCCAUCGUCAUCACUACCAGAAUCAUCAUCGCUGCUGUCAAACAUAUCAAUAACUCCAUCAUCUGGGAGAAGUUCUUUUCCAUCACCACCAGCCCUACUAAUCUGGAUCACCUAGGUCGUGAAGUCAAUACCCCAACCCCUUAGCUCAAACCCUACACGGUCGCCAAUUUGCAAGUUAUUAUCUUCCACAAUUGUCCUCCAUAGUCCAUGGUGAAUAGCAUAGUAGCGAUGGUGGUCAUAUACCAUUCGUCCAACCCAAUGUCCACGGUGCACAUGAAGCACUUCUAAGGUCUUUGCACGUCUAAGUCUCCACUUAAACUGAGCUGGAAUGACUGCAUCCGACAAUUGACAAGUACACAACAUUAAUCGUAAAAACUUGUUAUUUUUUCUUACAUAUAGAAAUUAAGAUUACUAACUGAUGAACUUAUAAAUCGUCGGGGCCAUUGCACAUGACAAUCUUUAAGAACCCUGAUAAACCACUGAGCAUUGGGCACACGUUGUUGUAGCGGAGGGGCAUCCAUCUGAAUAACAAGUCCAACCAUAACAAAAAAUAAACACAAAUUUAAUUUUCAUUUUCAUUGAAGCUACCCAUACUUUGUUGUGGUAAAUCUUGUGGUAGAACAACAAGUAGCUUCAACUUGUUACAAGAAAGUAGUAGAACACACCAAUUAUACAGAAGCACACAACGCCAUAAACUGAUAAGGCUAUUCAAUUAUUGAACAAAGUCUAUAUAACAUUCAUUCACUUAUGUCUAUAUAACCUUAAAUUCCUAAUGUCUCUCAUACUUUUAGGAAUUCCUACAAGUUCAAAGUCACAUUUUGAAUUUUCUUCUCAAUAAUCUGUUCCCCGCCAUUAACAACAACAUUAACCAUAAUUUGAAUUUUCUUCUCAAUAACACUACCAAAUAAAAUCAAUUUGUAGGAGAUAAACUAAAUCUACUAACAUGCAAAUCAAUUUUAACCCUAACCUUAAAAGUCUCGUACCAAUUUUCUCAAAUAUGGCUGAAAUGAAAAAAAAUAUUGUUUCAAAUUACCUGAUAUGAUUGGACAACUUUAGCAAGUAGACACCAAAUCCUCCAUUCCGAUCAGAUAAAAAGAAAAAAAAAUAUAAAUCAAAAUUUAGUAGAAAAAUUAAAACCAAAACAAUAAAGAGAUAGAGAGAGAAGAUUGGAGAAGAUGCUCAAUUUAACUGCGAAAAAAGAAGAAGAUGGUGAUUAAAGGGAAAGGAGAGAGGAAGAGAGGUAAGGGUACCUUUGAAUGUCAGAGGGAAUGAGAAGUGGAGAACAGAGCACAGUAGUAGAAGAUAG